Molecule: microRNA precursor, 89 nt
Filed under: Canis lupus familiaris (dog)
Lineage: Eukaryota; Metazoa; Chordata; Mammalia; Carnivora; Canidae
Also listed under: 1 other name
Description: mir-8799 microRNA precursor family
Rfam family: mir-8799 microRNA precursor family
Source: Rfam by way of RNAcentral
GGGGGACUGCAGGAUCCUGGGCUGUGUCCUCGGCGCCCUGGGAUCCGGGGCCUGCGCUGCUGGAAUCACGCUCUGGGGCUGCAGCUCCU